CCGCGGCCAGAUGUGGGCGGAUGUGGGGGCCGGGCGGCGGCGCGGGGGCGGCGCCAAGGGGGGAAGAGAUUCCUCCCCUUCCCUGGGGCGCAGGGUUCCUCCUGCGGGAGGUUUUAUUUACGCAGCCAAACAAAGUUCACCGCCGCCGCCGCCGCCGCCGCCGCCGCCUUCCCGCGCUCAGCGCCUGCAAGGGUUAAGCGCCCGAGCUGCCCGGCCGGGGGACCCCCGCCUGUGGGCCCGGAGCCGCGGAGCGAGGGGCGACCGCAGGACUCACAUGGUCCCGGGGGGGGGCGCCCCCCCAGCGACUCCCCAUCCCUACCCGUCCACCCCCGGGGUCGCUUGCUGCACCCUCCGAGCCAGUGGAGCUGAACAGACGUGGGCUUAUCUCCUCGGGGAGCCCAGCCAGGGUGCACGCCUUGCCAAAAUGCUCCCCUGUGGGAACCUAAAGGACAAUGGCAGGAGGGAACUGACCUCCACGGCCAGAAAGUGCCGCAUGUUGGCAUGACUGCACUCUAGAACCCAUCCGGUCCAUACCCCCACCUUCCGUUUAACCACCGGGGCCAUGGCUGCCAGGCCUUGACACCUCCAGAGAGAUGGGAAACAGCUGGGCACCACCCUUCACAUAAUAAUCACCUUCUCCAAACUCGAAGACAAUCCGGCCGCUCCUCGGCCUUCUCUUUCCCCGCUGAAAUCGUGCACCCAGCCCUGUCUCAGCCC
Mirounga angustirostris (Northern elephant seal) is the source of this 717-nucleotide long non-coding RNA. RefSeq lists it as uncharacterized. The transcript is spliced from 3 exons. The record is from RefSeq and is a predicted model, not a curated record. NCBI's taxonomy places the organism in Eukaryota, Metazoa, Chordata, Mammalia, Carnivora, Phocidae.